AUUGAGAACAUGCUAAAAAUGAUGGCUUCCCUCAACAUUUUCAAGGAAAAAUCAUCGUCUUCAAAUAAUACCAGGAAUCUGCUAUUAAAAUCUUUUUCACCAGUUCUGGGACGCCCUGUAUAUGUACUUGUUUUUUUAAAUAUAUAACGUUGAAUUAAAUUAACGUUGAAAAAACUGAUUGCAUAAAAAUUAGAAGAAAUUCUUUUAAAUGGAUAAAUUUUAUUCAGUUGUUAUUUAUAUUUGUUACACACUUUGCAAAAAUGUUGAAAAACCAACGCUUUGACUUUUCAGAUUUUAUUUUCUUGUAUAAUGUUGAUUCUACUUUCUAUGAAAAAUUCAGCUACAAAUAAAAUUGCCCGAAAUUAUGUGAUAUAUAUUUAGAGAUAUAGAUCAAAAUACAACUAAUAGUGAGUCUAAUCAUACCACAUCACUUACGGAGAGUCCAAGAGAAAAGUUAAAUGAUGUAUAUUACGAGGCUAUCAACCAGAUUAAUAGUAAUUAUCACCGCUAAUUAAGCUGCAACUGGGAAAAUAUGUAAUCAAAAUUACAGCGAAAUUAAUUGAAAAGCAAA
This is a non-coding RNA of Nylanderia fulva, 571 nucleotides long. NCBI's taxonomy places the organism in Eukaryota, Metazoa, Arthropoda, Insecta, Hymenoptera, Formicidae. The record is from RefSeq and is a predicted model, not a curated record.